Molecule: ribosomal RNA, 369 nt
Filed under: Tomosvaryella sp. NCSU-98021997
Lineage: Eukaryota; Metazoa; Arthropoda; Insecta; Diptera; Pipunculidae
Description: eukaryotic LSU rRNA
Rfam family: Eukaryotic large subunit ribosomal RNA
Source: RNAcentral
UGGUAAAGCGAAUGAUUAGAGGCCUUAGGGUCGAAACGAUCUUAACCUAUUCUCAAACUUUAAAUGGGUAAGAACCUCACCUUUCUUGUUAUGAAGGUUGAGGUUCUGAUAUAAUGUGCCCAGUGGGCCACUUUUGGUAAGCAGAACUGGCGCUGUGGGAUGAACCAAACGUAAUGUUAUGGUGCCCAAAUUAACAACUCAUGCAGAUACCAUGAAAGGCGUUGGUUGCUUAAAACAGCAGGACGGUGGACAUGGAAGUCGUAAUCCGCUAAGGAGUGUGUAACAACUCACCUGCCGAAGCAACUAGCCCUUAAAAUGGAUGGCGCUUAAGUUGUAUACCUAUACAUUACCGCUAAAGUAAAUGAUUUA